AUUUAAGUAGUUUAUUAAAAUAUUAAUUUGUGGAAUUAAAGUUAUGAAAUAUUUAAAAUUUUAUCUUAAAUA
RNAcentral lists this transfer RNA (72 nucleotides) under Acropyga butteli. RNAcentral describes it as "tRNA-His". The record is from RNAcentral. Lineage: Eukaryota; Metazoa; Arthropoda; Insecta; Hymenoptera; Formicidae.